RNAcentral lists this long non-coding RNA (396 nucleotides) under Nicotiana benthamiana. RNAcentral describes it as "long non-coding RNA (NBEN_LNC019148)". The record is from RNAcentral. Lineage: Eukaryota; Viridiplantae; Streptophyta; Magnoliopsida; Solanales; Solanaceae.
ACAGACUGGAUAUCCACGUCUUCAUCAAGGUACUCGCACGACUUCUUCUGGAAAGCCCAAGUGAAAUGGUAACAAUCGCAAAUGUCAAGCACCCUUCAAUCAGUGCACCUCGGUGGAUGUCAAUGGUCAAACGAGGUCCACGUCCUAUGUUCGGAAACACCGCAAUGAUGAGUCUACCCAAGUGAAAUAGUAACAAUCGCAAAUGUCAAGCACCCUUCAAUCAGUGCACCUCGGUGGAUGUCAAUGGUCAAACGAGGUCCACGCCCUAUGUUUGGAAAUGCCGCAAUGAUGAGCCUAACCCCAGUAAUUGAACCAAAGACCUGAGCAGGAAUUCUGGCACCAACAGUGAAGAGGAAAUUGGAGAGAUCCCCAGAGAUGGCACCGGAAAAGAUAGUG